RNAcentral lists this ribosomal RNA (817 nucleotides) under uncultured archaeon. Its description in RNAcentral is "bacterial SSU rRNA". The stretch from base 227 to 817 matches the Rfam family "Archaeal small subunit ribosomal RNA", at positions 1 to 889 of the family's 1478-position model. The record is from RNAcentral.
AGGGGCGCGUCCCAUUGCCCAUUCAGGCUGCGCCAACUGUUGGGAAGAGCGGAUCGGGUGCGGGCCUUUUCGCUAUUACGCCCAGCUGGCGAAAGGGGGAUGUGCUGCAAGGCGAUUAAGUUGGGUAACGCCAGGAUUUUCCCAGUCACGACGUUGUAAAACGACGGGCCAGUGAAUUGUAAUCGACUCACUAUAGGGGCGAAUUGGGCCCGACGUGGCAUGCUCCCGGCCGCCAGGGCGGCCGCGGGGAAUUGGAUUACGGGGGUGCAGCAGGCGCGAAACCUCCGCAAUGGGGGAAAGCCUGACGGGGUUAAUCCGAGUGGUUCCUGCUAAAGGAGUCUUUUGCCAGUUGUAAAUAGACUGGUGAAUAAGGAGUGGCCAAGCCUGGUGUCAGCCGCCGCGGUAAUACCACCACCCCGAGUGUCGGGACGAUUAUUGGUGUAAACCAUCCGUAGCCGAGUAUAAAGUCUUCCGUUAAAUCCACUUGCUCACCAAGCGGGCUGCGGAGGAUACUAAUACACUAGGAGCCGGAGAGGCGAGAAGUAUUCCAUGGGUAGGGGUAAAAUCCACUGAUCCAUGGAGGACCACCAGUGGCGAAAGCGUCUCGCCAGAAUGCGCUCGACGGUGAGGGAUGAAAGCUGGGGGACCAAACCGGAUUAGAUACCCGGGUAGUCCCACCUGUAAACGAUGUAGCCUCGGCGACGGAUGGGCUCCGGCCCAAUUCAGUGCCCCAGGGAAGCCGUUAACCCUACCACCUGGGGAGUACGGCCGCAAGGCUGAAACUUAAAGGAAUUGGCGGGGGAGCACAAUCACUAGU